GGUAAGAUGGCCGUGCGGUUGAGGCGUGUGACUCGGACUUCCGAAAUUCUCAUGGGGGAAACCCCCCCAGAGUUCAAAUCUCUGUCUGACCA
This is a non-coding RNA of Marasmius tenuissimus, 92 nucleotides long. Lineage: Eukaryota; Fungi; Basidiomycota; Agaricomycetes; Agaricales; Marasmiaceae. The record is from the annotation of a GenBank genome assembly.